GUCUACGGCCACAUCACGUUGAAAACACCGGUNNNCGUCCGAUCACCGAAGUUAAGCAACGUCGAGCCCGGUCAGUACUUGGAUGGGUGACCGCCUGGGAAUACCGGGUGCUGUAGGCUU
RNAcentral lists this ribosomal RNA (120 nucleotides) under Ensis arcuatus. Lineage: Eukaryota; Metazoa; Mollusca; Bivalvia; Adapedonta; Pharidae. The record is from RNAcentral.